This 546-nucleotide ribosomal RNA is filed under the name Triticum aestivum (bread wheat). Its description in RNAcentral is "partial small subunit ribosomal RNA". The record is from RNAcentral. Lineage: Eukaryota; Viridiplantae; Streptophyta; Magnoliopsida; Poales; Poaceae.
AUGUCCAUGUAUCUUUUAUCCAAAACUAUACUUGCCAGGAUUGACAAGUGUAGGAGGAGAUUCUUCUGGCAUGUGACCCAGAAUAAAAAACGAUAUUACCCGGUUAAGUGGACUAGAAUUUGUAGAUCCAAGAGUAAAGGGGGGCUGGGUGUGAAAGAUCUUCAUAAGCAGAAUCUCAGCCUGCUUACUAAAUGGUGGUGGAAGUUAGAAACUAAAUCUGGACUUUGGCAGGAUAUUGUGAAAGCUAAGUACUUCAGUAGGGGUACCGUGGCUGAUAUUAAAAUGAAGUGCAAUGACUCACCAUGCUGGAAAGCCAUUAUGAAGGUGAAAUAUCUUUAUAUGGCAGGGAGGAGAGUAAUUGUGCAAUCUGGAAACAUUGCCACACUGUGGGUUGAUCCCAUUGGGGACAAUAUCCCUAUGGCUGAGCAGUUUACUCGUCUUUUCUCUAUUUGCAAUUAUCCUAAGUGCACUAUUGAUAAAUUCUUAAAUGCUGAUCCCUCCUCAUUCUUUAGGAGAAGGUUGAAUAGUGAGCUUAAUGACCAGUGA